This is a long non-coding RNA of Poecilia latipinna (sailfin molly), 279 nucleotides long. RefSeq lists it as uncharacterized. Lineage: Eukaryota; Metazoa; Chordata; Actinopteri; Cyprinodontiformes; Poeciliidae. The transcript is spliced from 2 exons. The record is from RefSeq and is a predicted model, not a curated record.
AAGUUGGAAACCUUCAUCUGACGAAGCAAAACCUGAAUCACAGAACAAUGAUUGCAAAAGGUAAAGAUGCAACAACAAGAUUGAGAAACUUGAGUCCAGCCCACAAGACAGAUGAGUAUAAAAUGAGACAAAUGCACACCGCUCAUUUCCCUCUUUACCCAGAACCUCUGGCAUCGUUUCCGCCUGCUGAGAGGAUGAAGUUUGUUAUGCUCUUCCUCGUUGCGGCUCUGGUCGUCCUGAUGGCCGAACCGGGGGAAUGUUUCUUAAAGAAGCUUUGGG